UGAAUAUAUAAUGACAUCUCAGAAAUGCUGCAGACUCAUGCACAGUGGAGAAGCCAACCGUGGAGAACUGCAUGGGCA
Molecule: small nucleolar RNA, 78 nt
Organism: Nycticebus coucang (slow loris)
Lineage: Eukaryota; Metazoa; Chordata; Mammalia; Primates; Lorisidae
Source: RefSeq, a predicted model, not a curated record